RNAcentral lists this ribosomal RNA (468 nucleotides) under uncultured bacterium. RNAcentral's name for it is "partial 16S ribosomal RNA". It matches the Rfam family "Bacterial small subunit ribosomal RNA", at positions 28 to 507 of the family's 1533-position model. The record is from RNAcentral.
GACGAACGCUGGCGGCGUGCUUAACACAUGCAAGUCGAACGGAAAGGCCCUGCGUUUGUGGGGUGCUCGAGUGGCGCACGGGUGAGUAACACGUGAGUAACCUGUCCUUGUCUUUGGGAUAACUUCAGGAAACUGGGGCUCAUACCGGAUAGGAGCUCCUGCUGCAUGGUGGGGGUUGGAGAGUUUCGGCGGUUGGGGCUGGACUCGAGGCUUAUCAGCUUGUUUGGGGGGUAGUGGCUUACCAAGGCUUUGACGGGUAGCCGGCCUGCGCGGGUUACCGGCCACAUGAGGACUGAGGUACGGCCCAGACUCCUACGGGAGGCAGCAGGGGAGAAUAUUGCACAAUGGGCGGAAGCCUGAUGCAGCGACGCCGCGUGCGGGAAGACGGCCUUCGGGUUGUAAACCGCUGUCGCCUGUGACGAAGCGUGAGUGACGGUAAUGAGUAAAGAAGCACCGGCUAACUACGUG